GUGAACGCUGGCGAUAGGCCUAACACAUGCCAGUCGAACGGCAGCACAGUAAGAGCUUGCUCUUACGGGUGGCGAGUGGCGGACGGGUGAGGAAUACAUCGGAAUCUACUUUUUCGUGGGGGAUAACGUAGGGAAACUUACGCUAAUACCGCAUACGACCUACGGGUGAAAGCAGGGGAUCUUCGGACCUUGCGCGAUUGAAUGAGCCGAUGUCGGAUUAGCAAGUUGGCGGGGUAAAGGCCCACCAAGGCGACGAUCCGUAGCUGGUCUGAGAGGAUGAUCAGCCACACUGGAACUGAGACACGGUCCAGACUCCUACGGGAGGCAGCAGUGGGGAAUAUUGGACAAUGGGCGCAAGCCUGAUCCAGCCAUACCGCGUGGGUGAAGAAGGCCUUCGGGUUGUAAAGCCCUUUUGUUGGGAAAGAAAAGCAGCAGGUUAAUACCCCGCUGUUCUGACGGUACCCAAAGAAUAAGCACCGGCUAACUUCGUG
Molecule: ribosomal RNA, 491 nt
Filed under: uncultured bacterium
Lineage: Bacteria
Description: partial 16S ribosomal RNA
Rfam family: Bacterial small subunit ribosomal RNA
Source: RNAcentral